CGAACGCUGCGCCCUGACAUGCUGUUCCAAGUGAAAUCACCCUACAGGAAAUCAAAUGGAAAAAUAUAAAGCAUCAUACGGUUGACAUCCUGCUCCCUUUGACAUCAGUGGAAAAAUUAUUAAUGUCUCCACUAGGAAGAGAGGCUGUGGACUGUCAACUGGAAAACAGGACAAUUGGGAUCGGCGCUCUGCACAGCAAGCAGCCCCUAGGAUGCUGGCAGGCUGGUAUUCCUCACAGGGCAGGCAGAAUGCACAACACCAGCAG
Long non-coding RNA from Lagopus leucura (white-tailed ptarmigan), 265 nucleotides. RefSeq lists it as uncharacterized. The transcript is spliced from 3 exons. NCBI's taxonomy places the organism in Eukaryota, Metazoa, Chordata, Aves, Galliformes, Phasianidae. The record is from RefSeq and is a predicted model, not a curated record.